This 381-nucleotide long non-coding RNA is filed under the name Brachypodium distachyon (stiff brome). RNAcentral's name for it is "long non-coding RNA (BDIS_LNC001117)". Lineage: Eukaryota; Viridiplantae; Streptophyta; Magnoliopsida; Poales; Poaceae. The record is from RNAcentral.
GAUGUAUAAAAAGGGUUUAAUGCAUAUAUAAGCUAUCCCAUAAUUUUUGGUUAAUUAUUUGGAGUUGAAAAAGUAUUUUAUUCAAACAGAUAUAUAGCCCUAAAGUCAUUUAUAGGGCAAAUGUAUUUUUAUAUAUUUUAUUUUGAAGAGAAACUACUUCCAAAAGUUGUAUCAUGGUAGAACAUGAUUUUACAAAUUUUCUGGAAUUUAUUUGGACCAAUUUGGAGUUCAGACUCAAAAGAUAUCAAAGAAAUGGGAAAAACAGAAAAAGAAAAGGUCUAAAAGAAAAAAAAAGGGGGUAAACGGACCGGCCCGGCCGAAUUGGGCCGAAACGGCCCAACUCCCCCGCGCGCGCCACAGCCCAGCUGGCCCAGCCGGCCG